Non-coding RNA from Biomphalaria pfeifferi, 291 nucleotides. The record is from the annotation of a GenBank genome assembly. NCBI's taxonomy places the organism in Eukaryota, Metazoa, Mollusca, Gastropoda, Planorbidae.
CCCAAAAUUAAAAAAAUAACAUGAUUUGCAAACUAGAAAACAUAAGAAAUGGAAAGAGCAUCCAUUUCUCUGUAAUUCUAUAUCAAAUUUAUUAUUUUCCAAUAAUAAAUAAAAAAGUUAUACAAGUUAUAUCGAAGUAAAGUAGCGCACUCUGAAAUGGCGGAAAAAUUAAUUCCGUCCAAAAGUGGAAAAUGAUUCCGAAGUAAUUCCGGAGUCAAAGAGUUAAGCAACUUAUUUGUCCACAGAAACUGUGCCGACCUGCUUCACCUUUUGUAUCCUGUAUUGCCUUUU